This is a long non-coding RNA of Telopea speciosissima, 124 nucleotides long. RefSeq lists it as uncharacterized. Lineage: Eukaryota; Viridiplantae; Streptophyta; Magnoliopsida; Proteales; Proteaceae. The transcript has 3 exons. The record is from RefSeq and is a predicted model, not a curated record.
UGCCAUGGCAAUGAGGGAAGACGACGAACCCCUAACACCUACGGGAAGAUUCUUCCUUCAACCAGAAAUGAAUCAGGUGAUUAGUUGUGUGGUUGGGAUGAAGAAUCCAAUCGAUCUGGAAGAC